This 82-nucleotide microRNA precursor is filed under the name Lepisosteus oculatus (spotted gar). RNAcentral describes it as "microRNA 30c-1 (ENSLOCG00000020280.1)". It matches the Rfam family "mir-30 microRNA precursor family". Rfam says of the family: This family consists of the mammalian microRNA (miRNA) precursor mir-30a. Animal miRNAs are transcribed as ~70nt precursors and subsequently processed by the Dicer enzyme to give a ~22nt product. Lineage: Eukaryota; Metazoa; Chordata; Actinopteri; Semionotiformes; Lepisosteidae. The record is from RNAcentral.
UGUAAGGGGUGUAAACAUCCUACACUCUCAGCUGUGACAACAGGGAGCUGGGAGAGGGGUGUUUACGCUCUUUGCCACAGAA